AGCAGCCGCGGUAAUACGGAGGGGGCUAGCGUUGUUCGGAAUUACUGGGCGUAAAGGGCACGUAGGCUGGCUGUUAAGUCGGUGGUGAAAUCCCGAGGCUCAACCUCGGAAUUGCCUUCGAUACUGACGGUCUUGAGUGCGGGAGAGGUGAGUGGAAUUCCCAGUGUAGAGGUGAAAUUCGUAGAUAUUGGGAAGAACACCAGUGGCGAAGGCGGCUCACUGGCCCGCAACUGACGCUGAGGUGCGAAAGCGUGGGGAGCAAACAGG
RNAcentral lists this ribosomal RNA (267 nucleotides) under uncultured prokaryote. Its description in RNAcentral is "partial 16S ribosomal RNA". It matches the Rfam family "Bacterial small subunit ribosomal RNA", at positions 510 to 776 of the family's 1533-position model. The record is from RNAcentral.